GGAAGGGUACAGCUCAAGUGGUAGAGCACAUGCUUAGCAGGCACGAGGUCCUGGGUUCAAUCCUCAGUACCUCCU
This is a non-coding RNA of Camelus ferus (Wild Bactrian camel), 75 nucleotides long. The record is from Rfam. NCBI's taxonomy places the organism in Eukaryota, Metazoa, Chordata, Mammalia, Artiodactyla, Camelidae.